RNAcentral lists this ribosomal RNA (497 nucleotides) under uncultured bacterium. RNAcentral's name for it is "partial 16S ribosomal RNA". It matches the Rfam family "Bacterial small subunit ribosomal RNA", at positions 28 to 507 of the family's 1533-position model. The record is from RNAcentral.
GAUGAACGCUGGCGGCGUGCCUAAUACAUGCAAGUCGAGCGAACAGAUGAGGAGCUUGCUCCUCUGACGUUAGCGGCGGACGGGUGAGUAACACGUGGAUAACCUACCUAUAAGACUGGUAUAACUUCGGGAAACCGGAGCUAAUACCGGAUAAUAUAUUGAACCGCAUGGUUCAAUAGUGAAAGACGGUUUUGCUGUCACGUAUAGAUGGAUCCGCGCCGCAUUAGCUAGUUGGUAAGGUAACGGCUUACCAAGGCGACGAUGCGUAGCCGAACUGAGAGGGUGAUAGGCCACACUGGAACUGGGCCAGGGUCAAGACUACUACGGGAGGCAGCAGUAGGGAACCUUACGCAAUGGGCGAAAGCCUGACGGAGCAAGGCCGCGUGAGUGAUGACGGUCUUCGGAUCGUAAAACUCUGUUAUUAGGGAAGAACAAAUGUGUCAGUAAAUAUGCACGUAUUGACGGUACUUAAUCAGAAAGCCACGGCUAACUACGUG